GGCAAACAUACAUUCGCAGACUUCUGAUAAGUAGUAUUAGUAAUAAUCUGAUUGCUCCAUUCUUUCUCGCUUGGGUUAUUAUCUGAUUCAUACUUGUCCCAUUUGAAGCCUCGCUGAAAAGUAUUAGCAACUGGCAUAUGUCCGGCUAUACUUCAAUUUAGUAGGAUCCCUUGGUAGAAUAAACUGCUUCUUUAGCUUACAUACAGGAUUCCACCAUGGACGAUCACAAUAUGCCACCUGAUUCUGGUUGUGGUCCUUGCAACUAUGUUGGCGAUCACCGUUUUUGCAAAGGCUGCGUCCUUAGUACUUAUUUCUCGCAAUCAGAACUUAGUAAUUUUCAAAUUUUGUACCAGCACUUUGGAUUGAAGAACCUUAAGACAAAAAUUGUAGAGAUUGAGACCAGAUUGGGCGCUGAUGGAGUUCGUUUCUGGAUUGAGGAGUAUCUUGGUUGGCUAAGCCUGCAUGUUAUAACGUACGACGGGUCAAGGUAAAGGAAGUUGAGACCAAUCUUUGGCUUUGUAUUUGUAAAACUUGCAAUACAAAAAUUCCUUUUGGAACAUGCGUUGGGGCUACAACCUGAAAAGUUACGUGAAAAAUGCCAGAAGCAUGUAGAUUUUAUUUUCAAAUAUGUGUUGGAGUUACUAGUGUUUGAUACAAGUGGAGAUUCCUGGCUUUCUGCAUUUGAUGAAGAUGCGGGGAAAAAUUCUCUUUAUGAACUGUACAACCUCAAAUCUGCAGUAAAAUCAAUUUAUUAUCGAUUUUUACCAUCCGUUCUUUGCGAUUAAUUAGUGACAAAUUUUACUAUUGGGCACAUAAAACCAUAUA
Molecule: long non-coding RNA, 825 nt
Organism: Nicotiana attenuata
Lineage: Eukaryota; Viridiplantae; Streptophyta; Magnoliopsida; Solanales; Solanaceae
Exons: 4
Source: RefSeq, a predicted model, not a curated record